CUGGGGAUCUGCCCGAUAGAGGGGGAUAACCACUGGAAACGGUGGCUAAUACCGCAAAACGUCGCAAGACCAAAGAGGGGGACCUUCGGGCCUCUCACUAUCGGAUGAACCCAGAUGGGAUUAGCUAGUACGCGGGGUAAUGGCCCACCUAGGCCACGAUCCCUAUCUGGUCUGAGAGGAUGACCACCCACACUGGAACUGACACACGGUCCACACUCCUACGGGAGGCAGCAGUGGGGAAUAUUGCACAAUGGGCGCAAGCCUGAUGCACCCAUGCCGCGUGUAUGAAGAAGGCCUUCGGGUUGUAAAGUACUUUCAGCGGGGAGGAAGGCGGUGCGGUUAAUAACCGCGUCUAUUGACUUUACCCGCAAAAAAAGCACCGGCUAACUCCGUGCCAGCACCCGCGGUAAUACAGAGGGUGCAAGCGUUAAUC
RNAcentral lists this ribosomal RNA (433 nucleotides) under Pantoea sp. F165. RNAcentral's name for it is "bacterial SSU rRNA". It matches the Rfam family "Bacterial small subunit ribosomal RNA", at positions 117 to 546 of the family's 1533-position model. The record is from RNAcentral. Lineage: Bacteria; Pseudomonadati; Pseudomonadota; Gammaproteobacteria; Enterobacterales; Erwiniaceae.